CCUACGGGUGGCUGCAGUGAGGAAUAUUGCACAAUGGAGGCAACCCUGAUGCAGCGAAGCCGCGUGAGUGAAGGAGUCUUUCUGUGUGUUAAACUCUAUCAGCAGGGGAGAAAAUUACGGUACCUGAUUAAUACUCCACGGCUAGCUACGUGACAGCAGCCGCGGUAAUACGGAGGGGGCAAGCGUUAUCCGGAUUUACUGGGUGUAAAGGGAGCGUAGACGGCAGCACAAGUCUGGAGUGAAAUGCCGGGGCUUAACCCCGGAACUGCUGGGGAAACUGUGCAGCUAGAGUGCAGGAGAGGUAAGUGGAAUUCGUAGUGUAGCGGUGAAAUGCGUAGAUAUUAGGAGGAACACCAGUGGCGAAGGCGGCUUACUGGACUGUAACUGACGUUGAGGCUCGAAAGCGUGGGGAGCAAACAGGAUUAGAUACCCGGGUAGUC
RNAcentral lists this ribosomal RNA (440 nucleotides) under uncultured bacterium. Its description in RNAcentral is "partial 16S ribosomal RNA". It matches the Rfam family "Bacterial small subunit ribosomal RNA", at positions 338 to 795 of the family's 1533-position model. The record is from RNAcentral.